RNAcentral lists this ribosomal RNA (460 nucleotides) under uncultured bacterium. Its description in RNAcentral is "partial 16S ribosomal RNA". It matches the Rfam family "Bacterial small subunit ribosomal RNA", at positions 338 to 795 of the family's 1533-position model. The record is from RNAcentral.
CCUACGGGUGGCUGCAGUGAGGAAUAUUGGUCAAUGGACGAGAGUCUGAACCAGCCAAGUAGCGUGAAGGAUGACUGCCCUAUGGGUUGUAAACUUCUUUUAUAUGGGAAUAAAACGUUCCACGUGUGGGAUUUUGUAUGUACCAUAUGAAUAAGGAUCGGCUAACUCCGUGCCAGCAGCCGCGGUAAUACGGAGGAUCCGAGCGUUAUCCGGAUUUAUUGGGUUUAAAGGGAGCGUAGGUGGAUUGUUAAGUCAGUUGGGAAAGUUUGGGGGUCAACCGUAAAAUUGCAGUUGAAACUGGCAGUCUUGAGUACAGGAGAGGUGGGCGGAAUGCGUGGUGUAGCGGUGAAAUGCAUAGAUAUCACGAAGAACUCCGAUUGCGAAGGCAGUUCACUGGACCGCAACUGACACUGAGGCUCGAAAGUGUGGGUAUCAAACAGGAUUAGAUACCCCUGUAGUC